GUUGUUUGGUGGGGGUUUUAUUCCCUUUUUCUUUUUUUCUUUAUAUAGCUCCUCUACUUGACAGAUGCCUGCAAAAUGUCAUCAGAACUUUGUGUGGACCUGUUUUGGUCUUUAAGAGAGAAGGUUUCAGCCUCUCAGGAGCAGUGAUUUACAUCCAAGGAGUUCUCUUGGCCCUGCACCAACGACUAAAGUCUGCAAAGUGUAGCAAAGAGAACAAUUAUUCAUAUUCUGGAAUGUCUCUGAAGCCCUUUCUGUGUAAAACUAUAUUAAAGGU
RNAcentral lists this long non-coding RNA (274 nucleotides) under Lonchura striata (white-rumped munia). RNAcentral's name for it is "domestica (Bengalese finch) lncRNA (ENSLSDG00000009520.1)". Lineage: Eukaryota; Metazoa; Chordata; Aves; Passeriformes; Estrildidae. The record is from RNAcentral.